AACGCUGGCGGCAGGCCUAACACAUGCAAGUCGAGCGCGAAAACACCUCGGUGUGAGUAGAGCGGCGGACGGGUGAGUAAUGCUUGGGAAUCUACCUAGUAGUGGGGGAUAACGUGUGGAAACGCACGCUAAUACCGCGUACGUCCUACGGGAGAAAGCAGGGGACCUUCGGGCCUUGCGCUAUUAGAUGAGCCCAAGUCGGAUUAGCUAGUUGGUAGGGUAAUGGCUUACCAAGGCGACGAUCCGUAGCUGGUCUGAGAGGAUGAUCAGCCACACUGGGACUGAGACACGGCCCAGACUCCUACGGGAGGCAGCAGUGGGGAAUAUUGCACAAUGGGCGAAAGCCUGAUGCAGCCAUGCCGCGUGUGUGAAGAAGGCUCUAGGGUUGUAAAGCACUUUCAGUAGGGAGGAAAAGUAUGUAGUUAAUAACUGCAUACCCUGACGUUACCUACAGAAGAAGCACCGGCAAACUCCGUGCCAGCAGCCGCGGUAAUACGGAGGGUGCGAGCGUUAAUCGGAAUUACUGGGCGUAAAGCGCGCGUAGGUGGUUUGAUAAGCUAGCUGUGAAAGCCCCGGGCUCAACCUGGGAACUGCAGUUAGAACUGUCUGACUAGAGUACAGUAGAGGGUGGCGGAAUUUCCCGUGUAGCGGUGAAGUGCGUAGAUAUAGGAAGG
This 674-nucleotide ribosomal RNA is filed under the name uncultured Gammaproteobacteria bacterium. RNAcentral describes it as "bacterial SSU rRNA". It matches the Rfam family "Bacterial small subunit ribosomal RNA", at positions 32 to 704 of the family's 1533-position model. Lineage: Bacteria; Pseudomonadati; Pseudomonadota; Gammaproteobacteria. The record is from RNAcentral.